UAGUGCUGGAAGGUGGCUGAUAGAGA
This 26-nucleotide non-coding RNA is filed under the name Rattus norvegicus (Norway rat). The record is from RNAcentral. Lineage: Eukaryota; Metazoa; Chordata; Mammalia; Rodentia; Muridae.